AGUGACGGAAGGCUGCUGGGUGUAGUCAAGUACUUGACUUGUCGGUGCGUGUGUCAAGAUGGGAUUGACCACUCUAGUUCAGGAGCUGUGUACAGUCAUGUUUCAAUUUAGCAAAACCUUGGCCAGGAUAGUCCUUGUGAGGAGUCACAGGACUGUUUGAGUUGAGCACGAUUCGGAUGAUCUGAUCAGGGUUGACAGUUUAACCCUGAGUCAUCCUAA
RNAcentral lists this long non-coding RNA (219 nucleotides) under Elaeis guineensis (African oil palm). RNAcentral describes it as "long non-coding RNA (EGUI_LNC073414)". The record is from RNAcentral. Lineage: Eukaryota; Viridiplantae; Streptophyta; Magnoliopsida; Arecales; Arecaceae.